AAUGCGUAGAUAUGCGGAGGAACACCGAUGGCGAAGGCAAUCCCCUGGGCCUGCACUGACGCUCAUGCACGAAAGCGUGGGGAGCAAACAGGAUUAGAUACCCUGGUAGUCCACGCCCUAAACGAUGUCAACUGGUUGUUGGAAGGUUCCUUCUCAGUAACGUAGCUAACGCGUGAAGUUGACCGCCUGGGGAGUACGGCCGCAAGGUUGAACUCAAAGGAAUUGACGGGGACCCGCACAAGCGGUGGAUGAUGUGGUUUAAUUCGAUGCAACGCGAAAAACCUUACCUACCCUUGACAUGUCUGGAAUCUUGCAGAGAUGUGAGAGUGCUCGAAAGAGAACCAGAACACAGGUGCUGCAUGGCCGUCGUCAGCUCGUGUCGUGAGAUGUUGGGUUAAGUCCCGCAACGAGCGCAACCCUUAUCAUUAGUUGCUACGCAAGGGCACUCUAAUGAGACUGCCGGUGACAAACCGGAGGAAGGUGGGGAUGACGUCAGGUCAUCAUGGCCCUUAUGGGUAGGGCUACACACGUCAUACAAUGGCCGGUACAGAGGGCUGCCAACCCGCGAGGGGGAGCUAAUCUCAGAAAACCGGUCGUAGUCCGGAUCGCAGUCUGCAACUCGACUGCGUGAAGUCGGAAUCGCUAGUAAUCGCGGAUCAGCUUGCCGCGGUGAAUACGUUCCCGGGUCUUGUACACACCGCCCGUCACACCAUGGGAGCGGGUUCUGCCAGAAGUAGUUAGCCUAACCGCAAGGAGGGCGAUUACCACGGCAGGGUUCGUGACUGGGGUGAAGUCGUAACAAGGUAGCCGUAUCGGAAGGUGCGGCUGGAUCACCUCCU
RNAcentral lists this ribosomal RNA (839 nucleotides) under uncultured Leptothrix sp. RNAcentral describes it as "bacterial SSU rRNA". It matches the Rfam family "Bacterial small subunit ribosomal RNA", at positions 685 to 1531 of the family's 1533-position model. Lineage: Bacteria; Pseudomonadati; Pseudomonadota; Betaproteobacteria; Burkholderiales; Sphaerotilaceae. The record is from RNAcentral.